GUACACACCGCCCGUCAAGCCACCCAAGUAGGGCGCACCCGUAGUCGCUGACCCAACCUCCGGGAAGGAGGCGCCGAAGGUGAGUUCUAUGAGGGGGACUAAGUCGUAACAAGGUAGCCGUAGGUGAACCUGCAGAAGGAUCA
Molecule: ribosomal RNA, 143 nt
Filed under: uncultured eukaryote
Lineage: Eukaryota
Description: partial small subunit ribosomal RNA
Rfam family: Bacterial small subunit ribosomal RNA
Source: RNAcentral